UUUCCGGCAGUAGAAACGCCAGACGGUCAUUCCUAAACUACACACAGAAUACAGCACUCUCGGGGGAAACGUACGCUAUAUUACUUAAAGGAAAUGAUAACAAGAGCAAGUUUAACUGUACUAGCUAACAGGUUGCAAACACGUGUUGAUUAACUCAACAAACAUCAUAUUACGACAAACUUACUUAUCGUCAGUGACUCGGAACACUCGGAAUAACGAGAGUGGAUUACUUGGGAUAACUACGAGGAUAAGUGCGGUAGGUAAACAACUUUAGCUCAUUUGUCAGAGCGUGCUGAGUCGGCACGUCUGCUCAUCGCUGCAGGCACAGAAAAAAGAAACCAAGUAGGAAACACGUGAAUUGAACACACAAACAUAUCGCGACAAAUGAAGUAUCGCGGGAAUGCAUAUAAAAGUCAAGCCUUUUCUACAAGGAGCAACACUGUUCGUGUAAAGAUGGAUCACACCAGUUAACUGCCAGCAGCUGCUGGACGCGGUCAACACCGUGCGCUCCCAGUACAGCAGCGCCAACCUGCAGAUCUCUGACGAGAUGCAGAGCAGAGAUGCAGAGCGAUCGGCUGGCUCGGAUCUCCCAGGACCUCUGCAGCUCCACAGCGCUGCUUCCGUGAGAACAUCCCCAUCACCGUCUGACGCGCUGCGCACGGCGAAAUGCGCUUCGGUUCUGUCUGCGAUCCGGUUCCGUCUGCGAUCCGGGUUUCAGUGAAAGUAUGCAGGACUGUGAGCUAUAGUACUUCCCUCUUGGCUGGCCUCCCAGCGUCCGCCAUUAGACCCCUCCAACUUAUCCAGAAUGCAGCAGCUCGUCUGGUCUUCAACCUUCCCAAAUACUCACACGUCACCCCCCUGCUUACUUCCCUCCACUGGCUGCCUGUCAUGGCUCCCAUCAAAUUCAAAACAUUGGUGCUAGCCUUCCAAGCAGUUAAGGGGUCUUCCCCAGCUUACCUACAAAAAAUCAUCAGACCCUACACCCCUGCCAGACCUCUUCGUUCAGCCUCCACAUGCCGCUUGGCACCUCCCCCUCUCCGAACUUCCACCUCACGCUCACGACUACUGUCUAUUCUGGCUCCAUGGUGGUGGAAUGAACUCCCCGUUGAGGUCAGAACUGUAGAAUCUCUCCCCACCUUCAAGCGCAAACUGAAGAUGCACCUCUUCAAGCAGCACCUCUCCCCGUCCCUCCCUACCUCCCUGUGAACUUUAAUUGUUGUCUUUCUGUGAUUUACUUUUUUGUGUAUCAGUAUUUUUUGUUUGGCUAGGUAAGCAGUGUUUGGCUAGUUAAGUUUGGUCACUUUUGCUUUGUUAUUUGUUUGUUUAUUUGUUUGUUUAUAAAAAAUAAAAAUUCAAAUAGG
Conger conger (European conger) is the source of this 1361-nucleotide long non-coding RNA. RefSeq lists it as uncharacterized. The record is from RefSeq and is a predicted model, not a curated record. Lineage: Eukaryota; Metazoa; Chordata; Actinopteri; Anguilliformes; Congridae. The transcript has 2 exons.